UACGUAGGGGGCAAGCGUUGUCCGGAAUCAUUGGGCGUAAAGAGCGUGUAGGCGGUCCGGUAAGUCGGCUGUGAAAGUCCAGGGCUCAACCCUGGGAUGCCGGUCGAUACUGCCGGACUAGAGUUCGGAAGAGGCGAGUGGAAUUCCCGGUAUAGCGGUGAAAUGCGCAGAUAUCGGGAGGAACACCUAUGGCGAAGGCAGCUCGCUGGGACGUUACUGACGCUGAGACGCGAAAGCGUGGGGAGCAAACAGG
RNAcentral lists this ribosomal RNA (253 nucleotides) under uncultured bacterium. RNAcentral describes it as "partial 16S ribosomal RNA". It matches the Rfam family "Bacterial small subunit ribosomal RNA", at positions 524 to 776 of the family's 1533-position model. The record is from RNAcentral.